Molecule: ribosomal RNA, 450 nt
Filed under: uncultured bacterium
Lineage: Bacteria
Description: partial 16S ribosomal RNA
Rfam family: Bacterial small subunit ribosomal RNA
Source: RNAcentral
GUAGGGAAUCUUCCACAAUGGACGAAAGUCUGAUGGAGCAACGCCGCGUGAGUGAAGAAGGUUCUCGGAUCGUAAAACUCUGUUGUGAGGGAAGAACAAGUACCGGAGUAACUGCCGGUACCUUGACGGUACCUCAUUAGAAAGCCACGGCUAACUACGUGCCAGCAGCCGCGGUAAUACGUAGGUGGCAAGCGUUGUCCGGAAUCAUUGGGCGUAAAGCGCGCGCAGGCGGUCCCUUAAGUCUGAUGUGAAAGCCCACGGCUCAACCGUGGAGGGUCAUUGGAAACUGGGGGACUUGAGUGCAGAAGAGGAAAGCGGAAUUCCAAGUGUAGCGGUGAAAUGCGUAGAGAUUUGGAGGAACACCAGUGGCGAAGGCGACCACCUGGACUGAUACUGACACUGAGGUGCGAAAGCGUGGGGAGCAAACAGGAUUAGAAACCCUGGUAGUCC